RNAcentral lists this ribosomal RNA (253 nucleotides) under uncultured bacterium. Its description in RNAcentral is "partial 16S ribosomal RNA". It matches the Rfam family "Bacterial small subunit ribosomal RNA", at positions 15 to 263 of the family's 1533-position model. The record is from RNAcentral.
GAUCCUGGCUCAGAUUGAACGCUGGCGGCAGGCCUAACACAUGCAAGUCGAACGGUAACAGAAGAAGCUUGCUUCUUUGCUGACGAGUGGCGGACGGGUGAGUAAUGUCUGGGAAACUGCCUGAUGGAGGGGGAUAACUACUGGAAACGGUAGCUAAUACCGCAUAACGUCGCAAGACCAAAGAGGGGGACCUUCGGGCCUCUUGUCCAUCGGAUGUGCCCAGAUGGGAGUUAGCUAGUAGGUGGGGUAACGG